Molecule: long non-coding RNA, 1253 nt
Organism: Triticum aestivum (bread wheat)
Lineage: Eukaryota; Viridiplantae; Streptophyta; Magnoliopsida; Poales; Poaceae
Exons: 3
Source: RefSeq, a predicted model, not a curated record
UUCCCCCAAAUCCCACCGCUGUGCCGAGAGCGCCGCCACAUUGACCCAAACCAGCGGCGGCGCAGCUCGUCCAUUGUCCUGCUGCCGGUGCCCUGCUCAAGCCAUCGCCACUGCAGUAGGGCGCCGCUGCCACCGUUGCAGACUUGACCUCCCGCGGCCGCCGCCGCCGCGGCCGCCGGCGGGGCCGGGGGCUUUGACGGACCUGCCUUCCUCGACAGCUUCGGACGGAGGAGGCGGAGGGCUCCGUCGCCGCGACCCUCGCCCGACCUUGCCACCCUGGACGGAUUCUACCCUGCCUCCUCGACCAAGACCAACCCGCCUCAGCUGUAGACGCGUGCUUCAAGUUCAGAAAUCAGAACCAAGGUUCAGUUAGGCUUUUGGUCCUUUGACGCCUGCACCGUGCUGCCAGUUUUUCCAGUUAUUCAACCACGUCUCUAGAAGAACAACGUAGUUGGAUGUACAGUGGGUGGAAUGAACAGGGGCACCAUUCUGAAGAGUGGGUGCGCAACACAACAACUUUUCUUGACCAUGCUUUUCAGAUUAUGCCUAAUGCUGACCGGUUUGGUGUGAAGUGCCCAUGCACAAAGUGUCGUAAUGGAGUCAGGUGGAAGAAACAACUAGUCAGAGUGCACCUUUGUCAGUAUGGUUUCAUGCCAAAUUACACCAGAUGGACAUCGCACGGCGAGUGUCCAAUAGUUGGUACAACCAGAAUGGAAGAGGAUACUCACACUAGUAAUGAACCGCUAGUUGAUAUGUUGGCUGACAUUAUUGGGGCUGAAACACAUUUUGAUGAUGUGGAGAGCGAGCCAACAACAUAUGCCAAGGAGUUCUACAAGAUGUUGUCUACUGCAGAGGAGGCACUGGUUAGAAUUACCUACUCUAAGAAAAAAUGUGAGAAAGCCAAAUGGUGUGCUAACGAUCCUUUUAAAGACGCAUCAUCCUGGUUUGGUUGAGCAAAAAGGAAAACUUGUGUUUGCAUCAACUUGGGAACACUAUAAGCUAAAGCCCAAUGAUGGGGGUCGUCCAAAAGCUGAGGAAAUCGAGGAAGAAUUUUGGGUAACAGAUCUGGUUCCUUUUUGAAGUGUAUUGUUGUAGUAAAUAUAAGUAACAGUUGAUUUCUUUUACAAGUGUACUACUGUAGUAAGUAUAAGUAACAACUUAUUUUCUGUGACCUAUAUUGCAACUGAGGUUUAGGCAUGAGGCUGAGUAUGAAGCAAGUGCAAAGCUCCAUAUUGGCAGGUGUUGCAACCAAC